GCGCAUGUGGCGUAAUUGGUAGCCGCGCCAGACUUAGGAUCUGGUGACGUAAGUCGUGGGGGUUCGAGUCCCUUCAUGCGCA
Molecule: transfer RNA, 82 nt
Filed under: Candidatus Limisoma faecipullorum
Lineage: Bacteria; Pseudomonadati; Bacteroidota; Bacteroidia; Bacteroidales
Description: tRNA-Leu
Rfam family: tRNA
About the family: Transfer RNA (tRNA) molecules are approximately 80 nucleotides in length. Their secondary structure includes four short double-helical elements and three loops (D, anti-codon, and T loops).
Source: RNAcentral